AACGCUUCUUGUUCUUUGGCUAAGAUCAAGUAUAGUAUCUGUUCUUAUCAGUUUAAUAUUUGAAGGUCUAGACCAAAGUUUGAUGUAGAUGAUCCAUUUAUAAAAUUAAAAGCAAUUCCGUUUACGUAAUUAUUUCCAAAUAUAUGAGUGCCUCCAAGGUACCAGACACUGUUCUGGAAAUUGGGGAUACAGU
Non-coding RNA from Erinaceus europaeus (western European hedgehog), 193 nucleotides. Lineage: Eukaryota; Metazoa; Chordata; Mammalia; Eulipotyphla; Erinaceidae. The record is from Rfam.